Cavia porcellus (domestic guinea pig) is the source of this 7909-nucleotide long non-coding RNA. RefSeq lists it as uncharacterized. The transcript is spliced from 2 exons. The record is from RefSeq and is a predicted model, not a curated record. Lineage: Eukaryota; Metazoa; Chordata; Mammalia; Rodentia; Caviidae.
GAAGGGAUUUGUUGCUGUCAAUUCGGCGCUGGAGCUGCGUCGGUGACACACAGUGGAGGCCGGGUUCUGAGUUCUGCGUGCAGGGCUUGCACAUUCUGAGGUUGAGUGGUUUCCCUUGCAGUGCCCGCCUGCUAAACUGUUGCUUCCUUGGGAUCACUGACUAUGGACUGAAGCCUCUAAAACCGUGAGCCAAAUAAGCUUCUCCUCUAUUAAAUUGUAGGUGCCAGGUAUAUUGUGCCAGCAAAGGGAAAGUGAUUAAAAUAAUGCACAUAUACUUAAUAACUAGUCAUGCUACUUAUAUUUAUUUAAAUAAUGUAAAUAUUUGCUCAUUUUAUUGUUUUAUUUUUCUGAAUUUUUGGCACCCCUUUCCUCACUUCUUCUGAUUAAGAUGAUUAGCUAGCUCUAGCUCAGUUUCUUUAAUGGUUACUCUUAAAAGUUAAGCAUGUUUACUUAGCUUAAGAUCUCUAGUUCACUGACAGUGUCUCUUAAUUCCUUAAUAAUGCAGUGCAUUAUUGAAUAUAAGGCAAGAUCUCAAUUCAUAUGUCUCUCCAAACUCAGUUGGUGCUUCCUCACUGCUUGCUCAGGGCUGCUGGCCUACAGGGGACUGAUCCUUACACUUGAGGUAGCUGCAAGGGAAACAGCCUGUCCGUGAAGCCUGCCUGACUGAGCUCAGCUGUAUCUGUCAGCUGUGCUUUUGGGGGCUCCCGGGUCAUGAUAAGCAUGGCAGUGGCUUGGGCUUUACCCCUGUGGGAAUCAUACGGUGCAGUGGUAGAGUUCUUUUAGCCAGGAAGCCAGGCAAACUUUUUCUCUUUGCAAAAAUACAUUUUUUAAAUUUUAACUGUUUUAAAAUGUAUUUAACCAUCCAGGAGACUGGAUUGUGAUACCUUCCUCCAGCAUCCUCUGCCCCAAUAUUUUAUUGUGAACAUUUCCAAACAUAGAAAGAUUGAAAAAGUCUUGGUGACAGUCUCUAAUCAAUGUCCAAGUACCCAUCACCUAGAUUUCAGUCAACAUUUUACUACAUUUGCUUUAUCACAUAUCUGUCCGUUGAUCAAUCCUUGCAAUCUUUUGGAAAUGAAAAUUUAUAAACAUACAAAAUGAAAAAACAAUAUGAGGAAUACCUCCCUUAUACAGUGAGUGACAAUGAUCUGUCAGUUUCUUUGUAACUCUCUCCCUCCGAACUGUUUGAAUAUUAGCUCCAGACUGCAUACGCAGAUUUCAUGUUGACAAUCCUUUUCUUUCGGUACUUGAAAAACGAUCCCACCCCAUCAUUGCUGAUGAUAAAUUCACUGUUCCUUGAGUCGCUGUUCCCUUCUAUAUGUAAGAUGUAACUUUCUUUUCCUCGCUGCUUUCGUGAUGUUUUCUUCACCUGUAAUUUUCUGAAGUUUGUUUAUGAUGGUUCUUGUGAUUUUCUUUGAGUUUUCUUCUUUGAGAUUUUCUCAGAUUCUUGACAUUUGUAGACUUUUUCCAUAUUUGAACAUUUUCAGCCCAUAUUUCCUCAGAUAACAGCCGUGAUCUAUUGGCCUUAAACAAGGUACCUCCAAUGUCUUUUUCCCGUGCUUUUAAGAUGCCAAUUAUACAAACAUUAGAACUUGGUUUUGGUUCCACUGGUUUCUCAGGUUCUGUUUAUUGUUUUUCACUAUUUUCCCUGUUGUUCAUACUGGAAAAUGCUUAGUAUUCUGUUGUACAUUUCUCUGAUUUUUUCCCUCUUUUUAUCCAUUUUGUUGUUGAGUUCAUCCUUUUGAGUUCUUGAACAUGUAGUUAUUGUAAGUUUUCUAAAGUGCUGAAAUGUCCUUGUAGCUCUUCUCUAUAUAUUAUAUUUCUUUGCUAAUAUUUUCUAUUGUUCAUUUGUUUCAAAAAUUUGUAAUUGCUUUCUGAAGCAGUUUUGUAAUGCCUGCUUUAAAAUUCUUGUCGCACGUUCUAGUCCUAGUGCCUGUAUCGUCCUCACACAAACACUUGUUAUCUUUAUCGUUUUACACUGAGAUUUUCGUGUGUGUGUGUGUGUGUGUGUGUGUGUAUGUGUGAUUUUUUAUUGUAUCAUGGACAUUUGUGGUAUUAUGUUAGAAGAUUCUCAGUCUUAUAUCUUAAAGAUGUCUGUUUUGCACGUUUCCUCUGACUCUGUGCUGGUAGGAGAGGACAGAGGUGUCCUUUGCUGCUACCCAAAAGGUGCUGAAGUCCAGCUCCCACUUAGAACCCUCCUGACAGUGCAGGGAAAGUGGGAAGCAGCCGCCGCCUUCCACGUGGCUUCUGCUGGGGGAUGAGGAGGAGACGCGAGGUCUUGUGACUCCUGGCGAUGCUGAGGGCUUGCCUUCCCGCUCUGUGGUCUGAGUCUUCUGGGCCUCCCUGGGCUGGGGAGUGAGGUGGAGCCUUGUUAUAGCUGCCUAGAUUCCCUACUCUGUCCUUCUAAUUAAUAAUCUGUGGCCUUUGAGCCUUUUCUUGCAUAAGUGAAUGCAUACUGCUUUUCAAAAUUACGUGCUAAGCUGCAAAUAGACUUGUCCACAAUUCUCGCUUCUAAGGAAUGCUUCCCUUCUUUCGCUGUAAUGUGACCCUGGGUUACUAUUUUACUGUAUUAUAGUGUUUAAAAUUUCAUAAUUUACAAUUGUCACUUUGUACUUUAACAUCAAGUGCUCUGCAGUGGUCUCUUAUUAUAAAAUCAUGAAAUUUGUAUUUAUUCACAAAGAUAGAUAUUUAGGAUUACUCUGUAUUAAAAAGAACAAAUGAUAUUUUUAGACUACCUAUGACUCUUGAGGCAUUUUUUUUUUUUUUUUUUUUUUUUUUUUUUGGUACCGGGCAUCGAAUUCGGGACUUCUUGCUUGCCAGGCAGUCUCGGCCCCACUGAGCUAAAUCCCUGAUCCCGACUCCUGCCUUUUUACUAAGUGAGACUGAGUCUUUUAUUAUUUUGUUUGUCAAAAGAAAAAAUAUAAUACCUUGGUUAGCUGGGAAGGUGGUUUUCUUUUAUACCCUACUCCUUUAUCUCAGAUGCAAAUCAUACUUUUUAAUAUAAACUUGUGCAUAGAAUAUUAAGGCCUAUUAUAUUUUGACAGUGGGACUUAAGGAAUAUAUUCAAGUUUUCUUAAACUAUUAUGCUAUUUUCCUUUAGCAGCAAAAUACUUCUGAAAAGAAUAGAUUUUUUUUUUCUAAAAUUGUGCUCUCUAUUUUUCUUACUGUUGCUUUGUUCAGGGAAAGAAAUAAGAAUUGAAACAAAACCUCUGUAGUUAUUAUUACUCAGUGGUUUAAGACCUCUGACUCAUAGAAUUAUACAGAUUGAUGGAAGCAAUCCCUGCUUUUUAGAUAUAGUGUUGUUAACAAAAAAAGAUGUUUAUUUCAGUAAGUCUGGCAGACUGAAGUAAACGGUCUCUAAAAGGAACUAGGAAACUUUUGUCUCAGUACAAAUUUUAUUGUAGAACUUUCUAGGUCAUCUUAGUUAAAUCGCAUACCUUCUUAUCACAACAAAAGAAUCCCUCUUUUCUAACUUUAACAUUUUUUUUUGCCAGAAAAAAUUAAAUUUGUGCCAUAAAUGUAGAUAAUGUUGUGAAAACCAUGUAGCUUUUAUUUAGUCUUAAAAAUAUCUUCUAACAGUAUAAGCGUUUUUGCUGUUUUGGUCUCAAAAAUGUCUUAAAGUGAAAGCUAGAACUUCAUUUCUCAAAUGUGAGAAAGCUCAGACUUCAUUUCCAGGAUUGACUAUUGCUGUUUUUGCUACGAGUGAUAAACGGUUGGUUGGUUUUCUCUCCUUAGCACCCUGAAUCUCAGCUGUCCUGGAGUUAGAUACCAACCAUGCGGAUUCGGGCCUCAGUCAGCUUCGCAUAUGGCUGAGAGACGUGGAUUAAAAUAGCUGUGAGUAGUAAAUCAGUAUCAUGCUUAAGAAAUAUGCGGAAGUGUGUGGAUCUUCUGACGUGCUUCAGAAGCUCAAUAAAACCAAGCCAGCUACUUUCAAAGUAAGAAUUACGGCAAAAACAAAACAAAACAAAACAAAACAAAACAAAACAAAAUAAAACAAAAUAAAACAAAAACGUAGAAAUAACAAUGGUUUGAGGUGCAGAUUUGUCUCUGGAGAAACAAAGGAAGUCAAAGUCAUUUCAAAUUUCAGAGGAAUAAGACUUUACGGUACUUGGGCCACACAAACCCUGUGGCUGCAUCAUAAUGGAAUUUUUAUGUAAGACUUUCCGUGGGCAGUAGAAGCCCGCCACCACCCGUGUCUGCCAUCUCUGAGCUGGUUCUCAGCUGUAGCAAGCACCAGUACGAGUCCCUGCAUAUUUAUCUUCAGCUCAUACUCAGCGUUUGACAUGAAGAAUGAAGCCAAGAAUUACAUGGACCUCAGCUGUGCAUCUUAAGCCGCUCACAACUGGUUGCUAAGCAUAUUUGGCAAUUGGCAAAAACAAUGUAUAGCAAUGUUUAGUUUUCUCUCCGUGUGUGAUACUGAGUUACCUCCUUGCCGCAGAAGUCACUCUGAGCAGGAUGACGGGUAUGGGCUGGGGAGGAGCGGGGCAUGGCUAUCAGCCACGGUCUGUGGGCUACAAGAAGGUACCUCCCAGGCUGUCUGUGUAACAAGAAAGCCAGCUGAAAGGCAUCUGCCCUUUCCAGGCUGUUGGCUUCACUGUUUUCCACAGGAGGCAAUCCCAGUCCUGCAGCACACACACAGCAAGAGAGGCGUCCUGUGACUGGCUUUGUGCUUUGUUGGCUCCCGAAGCCCCCACCCUCCAGCCCCAUCCCUGGACUUAGGAGCUGUGUGUGCCUCUAGGUGGUGAACAGCAGCUCUUACCUGAAAGCACUCCUGUUGGUAGCCAUUUCAGGGAUGUGAUGAGAGCAUCCCUCCCUUUGUAUCCCACUAGCCAAUCAGUCCACCCUCAUGGCCUCUACUGGAGCUGGAACUCUCCCCUUCACCACGGGAACCCCUGCCUUUCUUGGUGAGAGGUGCUGUUUAGAGUGUAGACCCAUGGGAAGGAAGUGUUCUACAGAGCUGAGAUUUGCUGAGACUGUACCAUAUCUACAGUGUUGCAGUGUGAGAUUUACAACCGCAGGUAUUAAUAGUCUCAUCAUUUUGAUUAAGAAAAACCCCAAGACCCAGAAAUGAAUGCAAAAGGUGCCAAGUUGGUAAAUUCCUCUCGGGGAAAUCCCAUUUUGCAUUUUCAAACGAUGCUUUUUCAUAUGUUGGCAGGAAAGCUGUACCUUUUAUUUCCAGUUUACCUUGAAGUUGGAGUAUUUUGAAUGAUAGCCCUGAAAUCUUAGAAGUCCUGCUAAUUUGAUGAGGAUGAGGUCAUGACCGUGACUUUUGUGCAGUGCCAGCUACUCAUCAGGGAUGUCAGGAGGGAGGGAGAGAUGGACCAUAACUCACCCCCAGAAGCCCCAGAUUCAUCGUCUUGUUUUCUGUGGCAAGUGGAGCCUCCGGAGAUGGGGAGGGCUCUGGAAUAAGAGUAAUCCUAGGCCAUCAGCCCUGGGAUUUCCUGGUGACCUGCUCUGAUGCACGUAGAGGAGUGGCCUGGUGGUCCUGGUGGUGGGCAUGGUUCCCUCUGCAGCUGCAGGUCCAGGGUCGGGGCUGCAGAGGAGGCCCUGUGCCCUCUGUGGCCCGUGGCCUCUAGACAGCACCGGUUAGAAUGCCGUGGAGGAAGGAUGCUCAUCUUUGGGGUAUCCUCUCAGCACUCCUCCUCCACUGCCACCUUGCAUGAGUCCUUGCUCUGGAGGAGGGAUGCGGUGAGCAGCCUGUGGAGGAGGCGUCUGCAUUUCAGCAAGAUGAGCGCUAACCUUAGAGAGGGUGCAUGUGGUGGUUCCUGGAGCUCACCGCGCAGCAGGCCAGGCUGCUUGGCCACCUCUGAGCCCCUGCAGGUGCAGGCUCCAACGAAUGUCACAUCCAGUCAGAGCCACGCCGGUCUCAGGCCCCCUCAUGCUUGUCUUGUGCUCAUGUAUUUUGCUUCCAUGGCAGAGUUCAAUUCAUAGUGUUCUUACAAGGAUGCUGGCCGAGGCUUCUUCCCCAUCUUGUUGACAAAGGAGCCGAUUCACCUUUAAUACCCUUCAGGGCCAGGUGCUUUGUCCUUGGGAACUGUUUAAGAAUUGUUGAGUUUAUUUGUGCUUUUUAGGGCAAUAUGCCCUCAUUUUGGAGAUUGGAUUAGGAAAGUAUAAAGGAGAAUUAGAUGCUCAGCCCUUUUGUCAGCCGUUGUGUCAGGUCCCUUUCACGUGAGCUCCCCGAGGCCUUUCUUCUGUGUGCACAUAUUAAACAAAGCCACGAUCAUAGGAUAUAUCUGGAUGUGUUCCUUUUUUAAAAAAAAUCAUUUAAUCAUAAAUAGUGGGUCCAUUUUAUUUCACUUUACUGAAAAUUAGACAUUUUGCAUGACCGCAUUCAUGUUAGUAUUCUAUUGCUGUGUAAGAAAUUACUACUUUCCAUGUGGGUGCUUAAAACUCCACCGUCUACUAACUGAGAGUUCUGCAGCUAAGAGGCUUUCAUGGUACACGUGGGGCCAGUCUCCAGCAGGACAGAGCCCCUGCCCUUGUGCUGAGCCUCCUCCUCCAGCCCUGUGCACCCCCAGUUCCUCCCUGCUCAGAAUCCCAGUGUCUGGAAGCUCUGGGAAGAGCCUGCUUGGCGCAGUUCAGUUCCUGAGGCUGCAGGGCUGAGGGCUUCCCUUCCUCGCUGGCUGGCAGCCGGGGCUGCUCCUGAAGGCGCAAGGCCACCGGCCUCCCCUGUCUGCAAACUAGAGGUGGUGCCUGGGGUCACUGUGGUGCUUUCAACUCUGAUUCCCCAUUUUUGUGAUCUGCUGGACAGAACUCUCCACUUUUAAGGGCUCAGAUAUUUAGGUCACACUCAUGGGACAGUCUCCCUGUGUUAUCAUCCAUCUGGGUCUGUAGCCCAAUCAGGAGAGCAAAAUCCAUUGCAUGGACACAUUUCCGGGUGUUCCAGGACUUUUAUAUGAGGCCGAGGAAUCUUCAAGGCCGUUUUAUAUUUCACCUACUAGAACAUUAUAAUUUAUUGCAUUUUUUUGUGUUUACAAAUUGUGCUUGCUUCCACCUUUUGUUAGUACUAGGAAUAAUGUUCUUGGAUGGAUAUAUAAUAAAUGUUAAUUUAGAUAGAAAUGGUACUUUGUAAUUUUCACUUUUAUUUCUAGUGAAAUUCAAUAUGAACUUUUCUGUUUAUUGGUUAUUUGUAUUUUAUCUUAUAUGAAUGAUUUCUUGCCAUUUUUUCUCAUACAUAUUUUUCUGAUAUACAGCGCUUACUAAUAAAAACAUUAACUGGAUAAUUCUGUUACAAAUAAUUUACCUUUUCUAUGUACUUUUGAUAUAUGUAUGUAACAUGUGUGUGUAUAUGUGUGUAUGUAUAUAUAUAUGUAUAUACAAUAUCUUCUUUCUACCUAUGGUAUCAUAUUUUAAAGGUCCUUUUAUACCCUAGGAUUUUAGAUAUGUUGAUUUAUAUUUCCAUUACUCUCAUAUAUAUACUGCCAGAAAUACAUACACACUUCAGGAAAAGAAAGAUCCGCAUAAAUAUUUUAGUUCUAAAUUUAUUGAGACUUCAUGAGAUUAAUAACAAGUUAUUUUUGUCCUCUGCAACUACAAGAGGUGCUCAAAAUGGUAGCCUUUAGCUUCCAGACGUUUGCUGGGACGGGGAAGUGCUGCUUGGGUGAGCUUGGUCCCUGAGAUUGCUGAACACGCCUUUCCAGUUGCUGCUCUGAGGGCCAGCUGUGUGGUGGGUUUUCUGUGCUGUGUGACAUCAUCUAGGGUCCCCACGUGAGAGGAACACCGUCUGUUGGGAAAGCAUCACGCUGUUUUCCUUUCCCUGAAGAGUGUGUACAUUUUUUGGCAGAGUCUGUAUUUAAAUUUUAAUUUGCAUGAGAUUAAUGCUGAUAUGUAGCGUUAGAUAUAUUUAUUUUUUCCUCCAAAUGAUUUCACUGUGAUCCAAAUAUUCAAUAAAGAACUCAUCUUUGCCCUCUGA